This is a non-coding RNA of Pelobates cultripes (western spadefoot toad), 114 nucleotides long. The record is from the annotation of a GenBank genome assembly. Lineage: Eukaryota; Metazoa; Chordata; Amphibia; Anura; Pelobatidae.
GACAGACACACUCUCGCUGACACACGCAUAUAUAUAUAUAUAUAUAGGUCUAUCUAUGUAUAUAUAUAUAUGUAUAUAUAUAUAUAUGCGUGUGUCUGUCAGUGUGUGUCAAAU